AUUGAACGCUGGCGGCAGGCCUAACACAUGCCAGUCGAGCGGAUGAAGGGAGCUUGCUCCUGGAUUCAGCGGCGGACGGGUGAGUAAUGCCUAGGAAUCUGCCUGGUAGUGGGGGAUAACGUCCGGAAACGGGCGCUAAUACCGCAUACGUCCUGAGGGAGAAAGUGGGGGAUCUUCGGACCUCACGCUAUCAGAUGAGCCUAGGUCGGAUUAGCUAGUUGGUGGGGUAAAGGCCUACCAAGGCGACGAUCCGUAACUGGUCUGAGAGGAUGAUCAGUCACACUGGAACUGAGACACGGUCCAGACUCCUACGGGAGGCAGCAGUGGGGAAUAUUGGACAAUGGGCGAAAGCCUGAUCCAGCCAUGCCGCGUGUGUGAAGAAGGUCUUCGGAUUGUAAAGCACUUUAAGUUGGGAGGAAGAGCAGUAAGUUAAUACCUUGCUGUUUUGACGUUACCAACAGAAUAAGCACCGGCUAACUUCGUG
This 484-nucleotide ribosomal RNA is filed under the name uncultured bacterium. RNAcentral's name for it is "partial 16S ribosomal RNA". It matches the Rfam family "Bacterial small subunit ribosomal RNA", at positions 30 to 507 of the family's 1533-position model. The record is from RNAcentral.